GGGUGCGUGUGCGAGGGCCGCCGUAACAAAAUACCAGACUGAGUGGCUCAUCAGAAAUUCACUUUCUCGCAGUCCUGGAGUCUGCAAGUCCAAGAUCAAGGCGUCGGCAGGUCAAGGUCUCACGGUGCGUGGGUUCGAGCCCCGAAACGGGCUCUGUGCUGAUACCGAGGAUCCUGCAGGAAUUUAGGGACUUUUAUCCCGAAGGCAAUGGGAAACCAUGAAAGGUUUAAGUAGGAGACUAGAGAGGUCAAGUUGAAAUUUUAGAGUAGCUCUCUGAUUGCCCCAUGUACAUGUCCUGGAUGGAGAGAAAGCCUGGAGGCCGUCAGGACAGCAAGGAGGCUGCUACUCUAACCCAGCUCGGUGCCAUGGAACAGGACCACAAGAAAGAUAGGACCCUGACCCGGAGAAGCUGGAAUUCCCACAUAUGGAGGAAGAGCCUGUGAGGAGAGAGAGACAGAGCAUGAACGGGGGAGGGGCAGAGAGAGAGG
Molecule: long non-coding RNA, 488 nt
Organism: Leopardus geoffroyi (Geoffroy's cat)
Lineage: Eukaryota; Metazoa; Chordata; Mammalia; Carnivora; Felidae
Exons: 4
Source: RefSeq, a predicted model, not a curated record